GACCGAUUCUCACGAAAUUUUUUAUACAGAUCGUGUAGGACUGAGAAUAGGCCAACAUCGAUUUUUUAUACCCAAAUAAUAACGAGCUCACGAUUAAAACUGACUAACUGUGCUGGAUAUCUGAACUACCCUGUGUUUUAUACGAGUGAAAUUAGACACACGGCCUACUUGAUAAGAGAUGAAAUUCAACAAAAAUAAUUUAAAUCUUCCAAUCGAAACAGGCCGUGAAAAACCAUAUACAACGUUGAGACUUUCUAGAUUUCAGUAAGGUGAUGUACACUGUUGAGUUCACACGGCUUCGCUUGGGGAUUUCCGUAUACAAAAAUUUAAUUUUCCAGUUUUUUUUCGGAACAAACAGUUGAAAUUUUCUUUUAACUUCAGGACAAGCGUUCUGUCGCUGUCGCCGAGUGUGGUUCGGUGGAAGGCGCGCACAAGAAUUGUGCGUCUCGAGUUCAGUCGUUGUUACAACUCGAGUGCGACCGAACUCGCUGCGCUAAUUAUUGAUCAAGAAAAUAAUACACGUUAUACACCAAUCAGUUUUCCAACUUGAUUUAUUACAACAAUGCCACGAACACGCAGGGGGGCUAAUUUGAGUCGUCAAACAAACAGAUCUAGAGGCAUGCAAGAUAGAAGAGCAAUAAGAUCAGAUGCAGAAAGGCAACAAAGUAAUGCAGAUGUCCGUGUAAGAAUGGCACAGUUACGUGCAUCACGAGAUGAGCGAAACCAACAAAGACAAUUGGAACGAAGAGAAGCGCGCAGAUUCGUAGCCAACAGACGUAGAGGGAUUGACCAACAUCAACAAGUACUUCGAGCAUUUACAUCACAUUCAUUUCUUCGACUAGCAUUUCAGUAUGAGCCUGAUGUUGAAUAUUACGCUCAUUCCAAAGUGGUAAUUGGUACAUUGGACAAGGAAUGCGCGCACUGUCAAGCCCUUAAAUUUAAAAAUGAGCCAAUUGGGAUGUGUUGCUCAUCAGGAAAAGUGAAACUUCCAGAAAUUGAAACACCGCCGGAACCAUUGCACGGCCUCCUUAUUGGUACUGAUCCAAAUUCUUCGCUGUUCUUGCGUUCAAUUCGGCAAUUCAAUGAGCACAACGAAUUGUUGAAAUUAUUCAAAUCACAUAUGCAUAAGCUACAAAGUGACAAUCACGCUAUUUUCAUCAAUCCUGAUAGAACACCAGCUGGAGGGCAUAUACGUCGAUUCAACGCACCUGUUGUUGACGACGUGGCUGGAAUCAUGGUUGGCGACCAUACAGCUACGCGACAAAUCGUGAUUCGAAGAAGAAAUAAUUCUCUUCAGUCCAUUCCUGAUACCCAUCGUUUAUAUGAUGCUCUCCAAUAUCCACUCAUUUUUUUACCACUCACUCGUUAAGCAACGAGAUCCGGUAACAGGAACCGAAACAAACAAGAAUAUUAGCUCAAAGGAUUUCUAUUCGUUUCGGUUGAUGAUUAGACGUGGUCAGGAUAAUAUCAUUCUACGAUGUCGUGAGCUUUGCCAACAAUUUAUGGUCGAUAUGUACGUCAAGAUAGAGAGUGAACGACUACGAUACCCUCGAUUUAACCAACAGAAGCUGCGUGCGGAAGAAUACAUUCACUUGCGAGAUGCUAUUGCCAGCAACGCUGAUACUGCCGAAAUCGGUAACUCUGUCAUCCUACCAUCAUCGUACAUAGGUAGUCCACGUCAUAUGCAAGAAUACAUACAGGAUGCUAUGACCUUCGUACGUGAAUAUGGACGACCUUGCUUUUUUAUUACUUUUACAUGUAAUCCAAAAUGGCAGGAAAUUACAUCGUUAUUACCUGGACAAAGUGCAAUACAUCGUCAUGACAGUGCAUGAUAACAUGCGCGUUCAAACGCUUCAGGAUCCAUCCGCCGAAACUUUUUCGAAACAGCUAUUAGAUAUUGGCAAUGGGAAAGUUGCCGUACAUGAAAAUACUGGAUCAAUAAAAUUACCAACCGGUUUUUGCACAAUCGUCCACUCGCAAGAUGUUCUCAUCGACUGUAUAUUUCCCGAUGUACACACACAAUAUAUAAAUCUUGAGUGGCUGACAGAAAGAGCCAUUUUAGCAGCGAAAAAUGUGGACGUUCAUGGAUUAAAUUUCAAGAUACAACAAUUGUUGCCAACAGACUCUGUGUCAUACAAAUCUGUUGAUACAGUUUGCAAUACUAUCGAAGCUGUAAAUUACCAAGUAGAAUUUUUGAAUUCCUUGGAUUUGCCAGGCAUGCCACCGCACCACUUACAAUUGAAAGUAGGAUCUCCGGUGAUUUUGCUCCGUAACUUGAACCCACCACGGCUGUGCAAAGGCACACGAUUGGUUAUUAAAAAAUUAAUGAAGAACGUGAUUGAGGCCACCAUUUUAAAUGGCAAGUUUCAAGCUAAAAGGUAACACGAAAUUCUUUGACUGUUAGGCGUUACGAAGUUCGCCGGGUUUGCUAGUAGAUUUAUAUAAAUUAUUGUAUAUAUGGGUGUACCUGCUGCCUGCCUGGACUCACGCAACGCGUCAGUUCAGCAAUCUGCCAAUCCCAGCGGGAGGCGGCAUCACUUGCCAGUUGCCCAAUUGCAUAUGAAAUUCGCUUUCACUGAGUACUGAGGAGGCUGAGAUUUUGUUUUUUUUUUUGUUUGAUUUUCAAUUCAUUUUCAACUGGAGAUAAAACCCGAUGCUAUGCUCCUGCUGCCGAUCUGGAAAUUAGUUUUCACACAGUCUAGAGUUCACACAUUUAUAACAUUUUAAUUAACUGAGAAAAUGCAGGAGCGGAUUCUGAGGUUAAUUAAAGAUUGCUGGAAAAUAUAUGUAUUUUUGAAACUUCUCUUUACAUUUUACAUACUUCCGUAAUGUCUUUGAUUAAAUCCAUCAAUUUCUAUGGCCCCAUGAGUUGUCGGA
Long non-coding RNA from Drosophila willistoni, 2877 nucleotides. RefSeq lists it as uncharacterized. Lineage: Eukaryota; Metazoa; Arthropoda; Insecta; Diptera; Drosophilidae. The transcript is spliced from 2 exons. The record is from RefSeq and is a predicted model, not a curated record.